This 253-nucleotide ribosomal RNA is filed under the name uncultured bacterium. RNAcentral describes it as "partial 16S ribosomal RNA". It matches the Rfam family "Bacterial small subunit ribosomal RNA", at positions 524 to 776 of the family's 1533-position model. The record is from RNAcentral.
UACGUAGGAGGCAAGCGUUGUCCGGAAUUAUUGGGCGUAAAGAGCGCGUAGGCGGUCCGGUAAGUCGGCUGUGAAAGUCAAGGGCUCAACCCUUGAAAGCCGGCCGAUACUGUCGGACUAGAGUCCGGAAGAGGCGAGUGGAAUUCCCGGUGUAGCGGUGAAAUGCGCAGAUAUCAGGAGGAGCACCAAUGGCGAAGGCAGCUCGCUGGGACGUGACUGACGCUGAGACGCGAAAGCGUGGGGAGCAAACAGG